This 376-nucleotide ribosomal RNA is filed under the name Thala exilis. RNAcentral's name for it is "partial 12S ribosomal RNA". Lineage: Eukaryota; Metazoa; Mollusca; Gastropoda; Neogastropoda; Costellariidae. The record is from RNAcentral.
UCUUGGAAGUAAAUAGAGAGAUCUACCAGAGUACUACGAAUAUAAAAAUUUAAAACUCAAAGAGCUUGGCGGUGCUUUAGACCUUUCAGGGGAACCUGUCUUAUAAUCGACAAUCCACGUUAUACCUAACCUUUUUUUGUAUAACAGUUUGUAUACCGUCGUCGUCAGGUAACUUUUAAAAAUUUAACAGUUAGCAGAUAAAAUUAAAUAAUUUUAAACGUCAGAUCAAGGUGCAACUAAUAGAAAGGUCAGGAUGGGUUACAAUUAUAAUUAAUAAUAAUUACGGAAAAUUAGUUGAAACACUAUUUUAAAGGAGGACUUGAAAGUAAAAUAUAUUCAUCUAUAUAUAUGAAUUGAAUAAGGCUCUGAAGCGUGC